This 403-nucleotide ribosomal RNA is filed under the name Caviallianassa sp. PNG-1165. Its description in RNAcentral is "partial small subunit ribosomal RNA". It matches the Rfam family "Microsporidia small subunit ribosomal RNA", at positions 751 to 1279 of the family's 1311-position model. The record is from RNAcentral. Lineage: Eukaryota; Metazoa; Arthropoda; Malacostraca; Decapoda; Callianassidae.
AUUCUAGCUGAAAUCUCUCAAACCGAGUUAAUAAAAGUUACAUCCUCUAAACUUAAAGGAUUUGGCGGUAACUUAGUCCAGUCAGAGGAACCUGUGUGUUAAACGAUAAUCCACGAAAAAUCUUACCUAUUUUCCUGUUUGUAUACCGUCAUUAUUAGAUGACUUUCAAAGAAAAAGUCAUUACAAUAAUUCUCUUUAGUAUAUUAGAUCAAGGUGCAGCCAAUAUUUAGGUCCAUCAUGGGUUACAUUAAAAUUUAUUUAUUACGUAUUUGGAAUUUAAACAUUCCAACCAAGGAGGAUUUGAUUGUAAUUUUAGUUUAAUAAGCUACCUUGAUAAAGGAUCUAAAUUAUGUACAUAUCGCCCGUCACUUUCACUCUCUAGAUGAAAUAAGUCGUAACAUAG